RNAcentral lists this transfer RNA (69 nucleotides) under Ictidomys tridecemlineatus (thirteen-lined ground squirrel). Its description in RNAcentral is "Spermophilus tridecemlineatus (thirteen-lined ground squirrel) tRNA". It matches the Rfam family "tRNA". From Rfam's summary of the family: Transfer RNA (tRNA) molecules are approximately 80 nucleotides in length. The record is from Rfam by way of RNAcentral. Lineage: Eukaryota; Metazoa; Chordata; Mammalia; Rodentia; Sciuridae.
GGGGUUGUGGGUCAGUGGUAGAGCACUUGCCUAGCAUGCAUGAGGCACUGGGUUCAAUUCUCAGCACCA